AACGAACGCUAUCGGUAUGCUUAACACAUGCAAGUCGGACGGACUAAUUAGGGCUUGCUCCAAUUAGUUAGUGGCAGACGGGUGAGUAACACGUGGGAAUCUGCCCAUCAGUACGGAAUAACUUUUAGAAAUAAAAGCUAAUACCGUAUAUUCUCUACAGAGGAAAGAUUUAUCGCUGAUGGAUGAGCCCGCGUCAGAUUAGGUAGUUGGUGAGGUAACGGCUCACCAAGCCGACGAUCUGUAGCUGGUCUGAGAGGAUGAUCAGCCACACUGGGACUGAGACACGGCCCAGACUCCUACGGGAGGCAGCAGUGGGGAAUAUUGGACAAUGGGCGAAAGCCUGAUCCAGCAAGACCGAGUGAGUGAUAAAGGCCCUAGGGUUGUAAAGCUCUUUUAGCAAGGAAGAUAAUGACGUUACUUGCAGAAAAAGCCCCGGCUAACUCCGUG
Molecule: ribosomal RNA, 447 nt
Filed under: uncultured bacterium
Lineage: Bacteria
Description: partial 16S ribosomal RNA
Rfam family: Bacterial small subunit ribosomal RNA
Source: RNAcentral